GAUCAUGGCUCAGGAUGAACGCUAGCUACAGGCUUAACACAUGCAAGUCGGAGGGGGCAGCAUGGACUCAGCUUCGCUGGGGUUUGAUGGCGACCGGCGCACGGGUGAGUAACGCGUAUCCAACCUGCCCUUUACUCCGGGAUAGUCUCCUGAAAGGGAGUUUAAUACCGGAUGUGUUUGUCUUUCCGCAUGGGAGCGACAAAUAAAGAUUGAUUGGUAAAGGAUGGGGAUGCGUCCCAUUAGCG
This 245-nucleotide ribosomal RNA is filed under the name uncultured bacterium. Its description in RNAcentral is "partial 16S ribosomal RNA". It matches the Rfam family "Bacterial small subunit ribosomal RNA", at positions 15 to 246 of the family's 1533-position model. The record is from RNAcentral.